RNAcentral lists this transfer RNA (90 nucleotides) under Streptococcus agalactiae. RNAcentral's name for it is "tRNA-Ser". It matches the Rfam family "tRNA". Rfam says of the family: Transfer RNA (tRNA) molecules are approximately 80 nucleotides in length. Their secondary structure includes four short double-helical elements and three loops (D, anti-codon, and T loops). The record is from RNAcentral. RNAcentral also lists the same sequence under 1 other name. Lineage: Bacteria; Bacillati; Bacillota; Bacilli; Lactobacillales; Streptococcaceae.
GGAGGAUUACCCAAGUCCGGCUGAAGGGAACGGUCUUGAAAACCGUCAGGCGUGUAAAAGCGUGCGCGGGUUCGAAUCCCACAUCCUCCU